AUUGAACGCUGGCGGCAGGCCUAACACAUGCAAGUCGAGCGGAUGAAGGGAGCUUGCUCCUGGAUUCAGCGGCGGACGGGUGAGUAAUGCCUAGGAAUCUGCCUGGCAGUGGGGGAUAACGUCCGGAAACGGGCGCUAAUACCGCAUACGUCCUGAGGGAGAAAGUGGGGGGUCUUCGGACCUCACGCUAUCAGAUGAGCCUAGGUCGGAUUAGCUAGUUGGUGGGGUAAAGGCCUACCAAGGCGACGAUCCGUAACUGGCCUGAGAGGAUGAUCAGUCACACUGGAACUGGGACACCGUCCAGACUCCUACGGGAGGCAGCAGUGGGGAAUGUUGGGCAGUAGGCGAAAGCCUGAUCCAGCCAUGCCGCGUGUGUGAAGACGGUCUUCGGAUUGUAAAGCCCUUUAAGUUGGGAGGAAGGGCAGUAAGUUAAUACCUUGCUGUUUUGACGUUACCAACAAAAUAAGCACCGGCUAACUUCGUG
Molecule: ribosomal RNA, 484 nt
Filed under: uncultured bacterium
Lineage: Bacteria
Description: partial 16S ribosomal RNA
Rfam family: Bacterial small subunit ribosomal RNA
Source: RNAcentral